GCCUAAUACAUGCAAGUCGUACGCACUGGCCCAACUGAUUGAUGGUGCUUGCACCUGAUUGACGAUGGAUUACCAGUGAGUGGCGGACGGGUGAGUAACACGUAGGUAACCUGCCCCGGAGCGGGGGAUAACAUUUGGAAACAGAUGCUAAUACCGCAUAACAACAAAAGCCACAUGGCUUUUGUUUGAAAGAUGGCUUUGGCUAUCACUCUGGGAUGGACCUGCGGUGCAUUAGCUAGUUGGUAAGGUAACGGCUUACCAAGGCGAUGAUGCAUAGCCGAGUUGAGAGACUGAUCGGCCACAAUGGAACUGAGACACGGUCCAUACUCCUACGGGAGGCAGCAGUAGGGAAUCUUCCACAAUGGGCGCAAGCCUGAUGGAGCAACACCGCGUGAGUGAAGAAGGGUUUCGGCUCGUAAAGCUCUUGUUGUUGGAGAAGAACGUGCGUGAGAGUAACUGUUCACGCAGUGACGGUAUCCAACCAGAAAGUCACGGCUAACUACGUGCCAGCAGCCGCGGUAAUACGUAGGUGGCAAGCGUUAUCCGGAUUUAUUGGGCGUAAAGCGAGCGCAGGCGGUUGCUUAGGUCUGAUGUGAAAGCCUUCGGCUUAACCGAAGAAGUGCAUCGGAAACCGGGCGACUUGAGUGCAGAAGAGGACAGUGGAACUCCAUGUGUAGCGGUGGAAUGCGUAGAUAUAUGGAAGAACACCAGUGGCGAAGGCGGCUGUCUGGUCUGCAACUGACGCUGAGGCUCGAAAGCAUGGGUAGCGAACAGGAUUAGAUACCCUGGUAGUCCAUGCCGUAAACGAUGAGUGCUAGGUGUUGGAGGGUUUCCGCCCUUCAGUGCCGGAGCUAACGCAUUAAGCACUCCGCCUGGGGAGUACGACCGCAAGGUUGAAACUCAAAGGAAUUGACGGGGGCCCGCACAAGCGGUGGAACAUGUGGUUUAAUUCGAAGCUACGCGAAAAAACCUUACCAGGUCUUGACAUCUUGCCCUAACCUUAAAAAAUAAAGCGUUUCCCUUCGGGGACGCAAUGACAGGUGGUGCAUGGUCGUCGUCAGCUCGUGUCGUGAGAUGUUGGGUUAAGUCCCGCAACGAGCGCAACCCUUGUUACUAGUUGCCAGCAUUAAGUUGGGCACUCUAGUGAGACUGCCGGUGACAAACCGGAGGAAGGUGGGGACGACGUCAGAUCAUCAUGCCCCUUAUGACCUGGGCUACACACGUGCUACAAUGGACGGUACAACGAGUCGCAAGCUCGCGAGAGUAAGCUAAUCUCUUAAAGCCGUUCUCAGUUCGGACUGUAGGCUGCAACUCGCCUACACGAAGUCGGAAUCGCUAGUAAUCGCGGAUCAGCAUGCCGCGGUGAAUACGUUCCCGGGCCUUGUACACACCGCCCGUCACACCAUGGGAGUUUGUAACGCCCAAAGUCGGUGGCCUAACCUUUAUGG
RNAcentral lists this ribosomal RNA (1448 nucleotides) under Limosilactobacillus reuteri. RNAcentral describes it as "bacterial SSU rRNA". It matches the Rfam family "Bacterial small subunit ribosomal RNA". Lineage: Bacteria; Bacillati; Bacillota; Bacilli; Lactobacillales; Lactobacillaceae. The record is from RNAcentral.